Molecule: ribosomal RNA, 497 nt
Filed under: uncultured bacterium
Lineage: Bacteria
Description: partial 16S ribosomal RNA
Rfam family: Bacterial small subunit ribosomal RNA
Source: RNAcentral
GAUGAACGCUGGCGGCGUGCCUAAUACAUGCAAGUCGAGCGAACGGACGAGAAGCUUGCUUUUCUGAUGUUAGCGGCGGACGGGUGAGUAACACGUGGAUAACCUACCUAUAAGACUGGGAUAACUUCGGGAAACCGGAGCUAAUACCGGAUAAUAUUUUGAACCGCAUGGUUCAAAAGUGAAAGACGGUCUUGCUGUCUCUUAUAGAUGGAUCCGCGCUGCAUUAGCUAGUUGGUAAGGUAACGGCUUACCAAGGCAACGAUGCAUAGCCGACCUGAGAGGGUGAUCGGCCACACUGGAACUGAGACACGGUCCAGACUCCUACGGGAGGCAGCAGUAGGGAAUCUUCCGCAAUGGGCGAAAGCCUGACGGAGCAACGCCGCGUGAGUGAUGAAGGUCUUCGGAUCGUAAAACUCUGUUAUUAGGGAGGAACAUAUGUGUAAGUAACUGUGCACAUCUUGACGGUACCUAAUCAGAAAGCCACGGCUAACUACGUG